GUAAUCCUCCGGGUGUUUUUGCACAGCUGUUUUGUGGGCCUGGUUGCCGCGCGCAAUAUUGCUAAGUGACGGUUUUGACAAACAUGAAGUCUGCAAAUAUAAUGCCAAAAUGAGGGUGUCGUCGCACAGACGCAAUGGCUUGUAAUUAAGGUUAGCAUUGCAGGAUCCGCAGUCGCUGAGCCUGGGACGUUCCGUGAAAGCGGUGCUAGUCUCAGAUGUCUGUCGAGUUGGCAGUGACCGGCGUGCAGGCCUUCCGUGCCCCGUCCAGGGCAGGAGGGGGCUGCAGAGGGGGUGUUCUAGGAGGAGUGCUAAUCAGUGAUGCCAGGAGAGAUGGAGCGUCGAAGUCCCAGCUCUGGCAUCCCGCCAGGCCAGAGGUUCCCAGGACGCCUCUUUCAAAGAGCUCCCCGCUCAGCAGCGCUAACCUCAAAAAGAAGAACAAAUACAGGUUGAAGAGCCACACUCCUACCUAUUGCGAUGAGUCCCUAU
Molecule: long non-coding RNA, 486 nt
Organism: Polyodon spathula (Mississippi paddlefish)
Lineage: Eukaryota; Metazoa; Chordata; Actinopteri; Acipenseriformes; Polyodontidae
Exons: 3
Source: RefSeq, a predicted model, not a curated record